CAAUAGCGUAUAUUAAAGUUGUUGCAGUUAAAAAGCUCGUAGUUGGAUUUCUGUUUUGGAUGUCCGGUCCGCUCCCUCUGGGGGUGCGUACUUAUGGAUGUUCGAGGCAUUUUUUGUGAGGUCGCUUUUCUGCCAUUAAGUUGGUGGUUUUGCGGGCUUGCAUCGUUUACUGUGAAAAAAUUAGAGUGUUUAAAGCAGGCGUUUGCUCAUUUGAAUACAUUAGCAUGGAAUAAUAAGAUACGGCCUUGGUGGUCUAUUUUGUUGGUUUGCACACCAGGGUAAUGAUUAAUAGGGACAGUUGGGGGUAUUCAUAUUUCAGCGUCAGAGGUGAAAUUCUUGGAUCGCUGAAAGAUGAGCUUAGGCGAAAGCAUUUACCAAGGAUGUUUUCAUUAA
Molecule: ribosomal RNA, 393 nt
Filed under: uncultured eukaryote
Lineage: Eukaryota
Description: partial 18S ribosomal RNA
Rfam family: Eukaryotic small subunit ribosomal RNA
Source: RNAcentral